Small nucleolar RNA from Mugil cephalus (flathead mullet), 92 nucleotides. NCBI's taxonomy places the organism in Eukaryota, Metazoa, Chordata, Actinopteri, Mugiliformes, Mugilidae. The record is from RefSeq and is a predicted model, not a curated record.
UCUCUCCCCUGAUGACUUGCACUGGGCUCUGAGUCUGUAUGGAGAGAGUCGUGCGUCUUUGGCCCUGACAAGCCAGAGUUUCUGAGGAGAGA